This 430-nucleotide long non-coding RNA is filed under the name Homo sapiens (human). RNAcentral's name for it is "non-protein coding lnc-GALM-3:2". The record is from RNAcentral. Lineage: Eukaryota; Metazoa; Chordata; Mammalia; Primates; Hominidae.
GUUCAAGCAAUUCUUCUGCCUCAGCCACCCGAAUAGUAGCUGAGACUACAGGUGCAUGCCAUCAUGCCUCGCUAAUUUUCGUAUUUUUAGUAGAGACGGAGUUUCACCAUGUUGGCCGGGCUACUCUCAAACAUCUGACCUCAAGUGAUCCACCCACCUCGGCCUCCAAAAGUGAUGGGAUUACAGGUGUGAGCCACUGCACCCGGCCUGGAACUCUUCCCAACACUUCUCAUACCCUCUGUUUCCUCUCUUUUGUUAUAGAUGAAGGGGAAGAAAAAGAUAAAACCAAACACAGCCCAGAAAUUCUGGCAUACAAAUCAGAAAAGAACUACUUCUUAGCCACCUGUGCCAGGUAGGUGGGUGGAUUAUAGAUUUAAAUCCAGCAGAAUGUGGUCCAAACUGGUUCUACAGACAAUGAAGUGGUUCUUUG